CCUGAGUUAACACGAUGCAGGUUUCCUCAACAGCUAUGUGAGAGAGUACAGAGCAUCGGGCUUUGGUUGCAGAGGACAUAGGUUGGAAUCUAAUGGCAUGAUCUCGGCCAAGCUACACAACCUCUGAAUUCAGUUCUCCUCUGGCCUAUAAUCGUUUGUACCUCAGAGAAGUGUGCGUGAAGGAGAAUUUCUGAGAAGUAAAGAUCCAACGGUCACAACGCAUGAAGCCCACGUAUCCACACAGAGUAACGGAGCCGUGCGGUACCAAGAGACAGCAGGUGGAGACGAAACUUGCCACGUAGCUCAUUGUACUAAGCUGCGGAGGAACCCUGCACGCACAACACGCACCUCAUCGGCUCCUGGGCCCCAGGUCACCUGUGCGCACCGUCCCGGGAGUGUGUACCACGCUCUUCCCCUGCGUGUGCAUGUUUUGAGGUUCCCUGUGACAAAUGCCGGGCCUUCAGGUUUAAGCAGACUUGAUUUAACAACAUCUCCAGAUAAAAUUCAAAACAGCUAUAGAAGAAAAUGAAUUGACUUUACAGCCUGCUAGGAUGUCGACAAUGGCUCAGGACGUACACAACUCAGAAAAAAAAAAGGGGGGGGGACUGCGGAAGGAAUCCCCUUUUCAGAGACUGAGCACGUUGGUUUGGAGUAGAUUAUAAGUAAAAUGUAAUGACGUCCACGUAAGCUUCCAUCGGUGAUGAUCAGGCGCUGGAAUGCUCGCACAUGGGCUCAUCUGAGCAUGACUAAUUCAGGACAGUUCUGUUUGUAUGGAAUUAUUUGCAUUUAUGUUUUGCCCGAGUUCAAAAAGGGUACCCUCAGGUCUUGCUCAGAGCAUGGGGGACUAAACACGCAGCUCUCGUUAACAAGCCUGCGAAAUGUGCAAGCCUGCUCCACUCCCUAAACGCUUUGCAGGAAGUGUUCCUUCUGCCAGCGUGCGGUCUACAGCAGCACCUUCCAGAUUGGAAAGCUCAGCAGAGUGGUAUAGCACCGAGGAACAAACCACCAUAUGGGAGGUCUGUCACCCAAAAGGUGGCUUGGGAGCCAGACGUUUUCUUGGGACCAAGCCAAACAAGGAAGUUCGGGCAGGUGAGAGCUGACCAGCGCUGUGCCUAAGUUCACCAGUGGACUUUGCUCGAAGGGACCCUCUCACGGCUGACAGAGGGCCUCGGAACUCUUGGGUCCCCUUCGUGUGAACAUGCGGCAGCUGUGGUGUGUCAGGAAGGAGUCCCCUUUGCCACAGAGACGAUGCCACAGUUCAAAGCGUGGCCUUGAACGUCAGACAGAUUUGGGUCCCCUGCUCACCAGCUGAUUGACCUCGGGGAUGCUGUUCCGCCCUUUGAAGCUUUGGUUUCCCCCACCGCAAGAUGGGUAUAAAAACAUGACAACUUGCCUCAUGGCUUGUGGCGAAGCAUCUUAACAUAAGAAAUGCCUAGCGCACAGUAACCACUCAAGAAAUUUUGGCUUUUUUUUUUUUUUUUCCUCAAACUCUCGGAGCCCAGGGAUCAGUCCAUUUGGGAAGCAAUUUCCUCAGCACUUGCAGUUGCUAUAAAUCAAUGGGCAGAUUGCCUGGAUUUGGGGUGGAAGGCAAUUUAAUUCCGGUGUCUCUCCUGUUUGCUUUGUUUUGCUCUGAAUUCAGGCCGUAAAAGGUAAGUUGGCAUCAGCAGUCAGCUGUUGCCACCUACAUCUGAAUGCCAAUGUCCUCUCAUCUAUUGACACAAGAAGAGAGUAAAUAAGGUAAUGUCCCCGGAAUUUUCUUUACACUAAACGUGUAAUUAGCCACUUACCCA
Molecule: long non-coding RNA, 1790 nt
Organism: Prionailurus viverrinus (fishing cat)
Lineage: Eukaryota; Metazoa; Chordata; Mammalia; Carnivora; Felidae
Exons: 4
Source: RefSeq, a predicted model, not a curated record